GUUAAAGACAGUUAGGCAGAAAUGAAUAGGAAUUAUUAGAUCUUUAGUAAAGGAGUAAAAUCUAAAUACUAAAAGUUAUACCGGAUAUAAUUAUUUAAUGUGUUGAAUCUGUGACAUCUUUAAGGGAAACUGGGAUUGGAUACCCCACUAUUUUUAGUUAUAAAUUUAGUUUAUGCUUACCAGAGUACUACGAAUAAAAAGUUUAAAACUCAAAGGGCUUGGCGGUGUUUUAGACCUCUCAGGGGAACCUGUCUCGUAAUCGACAAUCCACGUUAGACCUAACCUUUUAUGGUAAUUCAGCCUGUAUACCGUCGUCGCCAGGUAACUUCUUAAAAUAUAGUAGUUAGCUUGAUAAUUUAAUUAAUUAGAACGUCAGAUCAAGGUGCAGCUAAUAAAAAGGUGAGGAUGGGUUACAAUUAUAGAUUUGUAAAUACGGAAUAAUGCUUGAAAUGGAGCAUUAAUCGAAGGAGGACUUGAAAGUAAUUUUGAUUAUAUAAGCAAAAUGAAUAGGGCUCUGAAACGUG
This 524-nucleotide ribosomal RNA is filed under the name Conus bullatus. RNAcentral describes it as "partial 12S ribosomal RNA". The record is from RNAcentral. Lineage: Eukaryota; Metazoa; Mollusca; Gastropoda; Neogastropoda; Conidae.